AUUGAACGCUGGCGGAAUGCUUUACACAUGCAAGUCGAACGGCAGCACGGGAGCUUGCUCCUGGUGGCGAGUGGCGAACGGGUGAGUAACAUAUCGGAACGUACCCAGGCGUGGGGGAUAACUAUCCGAAAGGAUAGCUAAUACCGCAUACGUCCUGAGGGAGAAAGCGGGGGAUCGCAAGACCUCGCGCGAUUGGAGCGGCCGAUAUCGGAUUAGCUAGUUGGUGGGGUAAAGGCUCACCAAGGCGACGAUCCGUAGCGGGUCUGAGAGGACGACCCGCCACACUGGAACUGAGACACGGUCCAGACUCCUACGGGAGGCAGCAGUGGGGAAUUUUGGACAAUGGGGGCAACCCUGAUCCAGCCAUUCCGCGUGAGUGAAGAAGGCCUUCGGGUUGUAAAGCUCUUUCAGCAGGAACGAAACGGUCGGCUUUAAUAAAAUCGGCUAAUGACGGUACCUGCAGAAGAAGCACCGGCUAACUACGUG
This 486-nucleotide ribosomal RNA is filed under the name uncultured bacterium. Its description in RNAcentral is "partial 16S ribosomal RNA". It matches the Rfam family "Bacterial small subunit ribosomal RNA", at positions 30 to 507 of the family's 1533-position model. The record is from RNAcentral.